Molecule: ribosomal RNA, 221 nt
Filed under: Staphylococcus epidermidis
Lineage: Bacteria; Bacillati; Bacillota; Bacilli; Caryophanales; Staphylococcaceae
Description: partial 23S ribosomal RNA
Rfam family: Bacterial large subunit ribosomal RNA
Source: RNAcentral
UGUACCUCUGGUGUACCAGUUGUCGUGCCAACGGCAUAGCUGGGUAGCUAUGUAUGGACGGGAUAAGUGCUGAAAGCAUCUAAGCAUGAAGCCCCCCUCAAGAUGAGAUUUCCCAACUUCGGUUAUAAGAUCCCUCGAAGAUGACGAGGUUAAUAGGUUCGAGGUGGAAGCGUGGUGACACGUGGAGCUGACGAAUACUAAUCGAUCGAAGACUUAAUCAA